GGGUUGCUAACUCAACGGUAGAGUACUCGGCUUUUAACCGACUAGUUUCGGGUUCGAGUCCCGGGCAACCCA
This 72-nucleotide transfer RNA is filed under the name Nypa fruticans (nipa palm). RNAcentral's name for it is "tRNA-Lys". It matches the Rfam family "tRNA". From Rfam's summary of the family: Transfer RNA (tRNA) molecules are approximately 80 nucleotides in length. Their secondary structure includes four short double-helical elements and three loops (D, anti-codon, and T loops). The record is from RNAcentral. RNAcentral also lists the same sequence under 2 other names. Lineage: Eukaryota; Viridiplantae; Streptophyta; Magnoliopsida; Arecales; Arecaceae.